RNAcentral lists this long non-coding RNA (938 nucleotides) under Callithrix jacchus (white-tufted-ear marmoset). Its description in RNAcentral is "lncRNA (ENSCJAG00000074746.1)". Lineage: Eukaryota; Metazoa; Chordata; Mammalia; Primates; Cebidae. The record is from RNAcentral.
AAAUCUUAGCUCCUCUUCCCAGUGGAAAUGAAGGAUAAGCAUCACACACCUCCAGCAAGGGCUUUGAUCAGCGCAGUCCUUUGCAUGUUGUCGGAGCCACGCACAUCCUGCUGUUUCUCCUUGUGGCCCAGCACCACCUGCUGGUCAGUGGCAGAACUGUCCUGACUUCGUCAACAUGAGGCUGCUAACAGGGAAAACUGCAUCUCAGCAUUUUCAUUGUUUCUGAUUAUUAAGUGAAAAGCAAAUUAUUUUCUUCUUGAAUGCUACUUAUUUGUAAGAAAUAGCUGUUUCUAAGGACUUGUGAAUUCCCGCAUCUGUGUUUGAUGUUAUUUGUAUGCAAUGGAUUGCUGGCCCUUUGUUCUUAAGUACAGAGAAGACCAAAGAUGCCUCCGGUGACCUCUCCAGUGAGGAUCCACAUCCUGCCAGACUUGCUCUCUGACAAACUGGAAAGGCAUGUUGUUCGGUGCUCCAGCAGCCAGAAGUGUUUUUUGUGGAACUAAAACUAAUGCUGUUACUCUCACAAAGGAAAUGUUCUUUUACUAAGUUAUUGCUGAUUACUGAAUGUCUGUUAUAUAAAGGUUUGCUGUCAAGAAGGAAAGUUAUAUUUUUUAUCACAUUUUAAGUUUUUAAGCAAAUGUGAUUUUUUUUUUAAAGAAAUAAGGCUUUCUCUGAGAAUUGUGUGCUAUUCAUAAUUUUAGAAAUUACAAACUGCUUGGAACAACUACUUGAGUGUAUUUUUCUACACAGGACUGUACUUCUGCCACUUCUUCCUUUUAAACAAAACUGUCAUAUCAUGUAUUAAAAUUUCCUUGGUUUUAUAUAUCAGAGAAUAAAAACUUUUUUGACUUUUGAGUAAACAAACAAAAAAAUCACUGGCCUUACUCACUUAAUAAUUCUUCAUCUUCUUACCAACAAAAAGGUCUCUAGCUGUUCAUAAU